RNAcentral lists this ribosomal RNA (238 nucleotides) under uncultured Staphylococcus sp. RNAcentral's name for it is "partial 16S ribosomal RNA". It matches the Rfam family "Bacterial small subunit ribosomal RNA", at positions 103 to 334 of the family's 1533-position model. Lineage: Bacteria; Bacillati; Bacillota; Bacilli; Caryophanales; Staphylococcaceae. The record is from RNAcentral.
CGGGCGAGUAACACGUGGAUAACCUACCUAUAAGACUGGGAUAACUUCGGGAAACCGGAGCUAAUACCGGAUAACUAUAUUGAACCGCAUGGUUCAAUAGUGAAAGAUGGUUUUGCUGUCACUUAUAGAUGGAUCCGCGCCGCAUUAGCUAGUUGGUAAGGUAACGGCUUACCAAGGCAACGAUGCGUAGCCGACCUGAGAGGGUGAUCGGCCACACUGGAACUGAGACACGGUCCAG